Molecule: long non-coding RNA, 222 nt
Filed under: Elaeis guineensis (African oil palm)
Lineage: Eukaryota; Viridiplantae; Streptophyta; Magnoliopsida; Arecales; Arecaceae
Description: long non-coding RNA (EGUI_LNC039499)
Source: RNAcentral
CAGCCGAUGGAUCUGCACUCCCUGACAGGCUGUUUUAACGGCCACGAUCCUGCUCCACUUCUUGUGGCGGAUUUCGUGCAGCUCCAUCACUCCCUGACAGGCCGCAGUAACCGUCGCAGCUCUGCUCCACUUCCUGUGGCGGAUUCCGCACAGCUCCACUACCCCCUGGCAGGCCACAAUAACGGCCACAAUCCUGCUCCACCUCCUACGACGGAUACCGGG